AAUCGCUUCUCUCUGGUCUGAGAA
RNAcentral lists this non-coding RNA (24 nucleotides) under Arabidopsis thaliana (thale cress). The record is from RNAcentral. Lineage: Eukaryota; Viridiplantae; Streptophyta; Magnoliopsida; Brassicales; Brassicaceae.